UGAUGAGGAAGCCUAAGGCAAGCUGACAGCCACAAACACCCCACCCCCACCCCAAGGUGGGAUAUAUGUGAUA
Lynx canadensis (Canada lynx) is the source of this 73-nucleotide long non-coding RNA. RefSeq lists it as uncharacterized. The record is from RefSeq and is a predicted model, not a curated record. NCBI's taxonomy places the organism in Eukaryota, Metazoa, Chordata, Mammalia, Carnivora, Felidae. The transcript has 3 exons.